RNAcentral lists this ribosomal RNA (250 nucleotides) under uncultured bacterium. RNAcentral's name for it is "partial 16S ribosomal RNA". It matches the Rfam family "Bacterial small subunit ribosomal RNA", at positions 524 to 773 of the family's 1533-position model. RNAcentral also lists the same sequence under 1 other name. The record is from RNAcentral.
UACGAAGGGUGCAAGCGUUACUCGGAAUUACUGGGCGUAAAGCGUGCGUAGGUGGUUUGUUAAGUCUGAUGUGAAAGCCCUGGGCUCAACCUGGGAAUGGCACUGGAUACUGGCAAGCUAGAGUGUGGCAGAGGGUAGUGGAAUUCCUGGUGUAGCAGUGAAAUGCGUAGAGAUCAGGAGGAACAUCCGUGGCGAAGGCGACUGCCUGGGCCAACACUGACACUGAGGCACGAAAGCGUGGGGAGCAAAC